GACGAACGCUGGCGGCGUGCUUAACACAUGCAAGUCGAACGAGAGCGUAGAGAAAGCUUGCUUUUUCUACAAUCUAGUGGCAAACGGGUGAGUAACGCGUAAACAACCUGCCCUACGGAUGGGGGCAACAGCUGGAAACGGCUGCUAAUACCGAAUACGUUCCGAAAGUCGCACGACUAUCGGAAGAAAGGAUGGCCUCUAUUUAUAAGCUAUCGCCGGAGGAGGGGUUUGCGUCUGAUUAGCUAGUUGGAGGGGUAACGGCCCACCAAGGCGACGAUCAGUAGCCGGUCUGAGAGGAUGAACGGCCACAUUGGAACUGAGACACGGUCCAGACUCCUACGGGAGGCAGCAGUGGGGAAUCUUCCGCAAUGGGCGAAAGCCUGACGGAGCAACGCCGCGUGAGUGAAGACGGCCUUCGGGUUGUAAAGCUCUGUUAUACGGGACGAAUAAUCUUGUGGUUAAUACCCAUGAGAAGUGACGGUACCGUAAGAGAAAGCCACGGCUAACUACGUG
Molecule: ribosomal RNA, 513 nt
Filed under: uncultured bacterium
Lineage: Bacteria
Description: partial 16S ribosomal RNA
Rfam family: Bacterial small subunit ribosomal RNA
Source: RNAcentral